This 382-nucleotide ribosomal RNA is filed under the name uncultured bacterium. RNAcentral describes it as "bacterial SSU rRNA". It matches the Rfam family "Bacterial small subunit ribosomal RNA", at positions 47 to 424 of the family's 1533-position model. The record is from RNAcentral.
CCUAACACAUGCAAGUCGAACGGUAACAGGAAGAAGCUUCGCUUCUUUGCUGACGAGUGGCGGACGGGUGAGUAAUGUCUGGGAAACUGCCUGAUGGAGGGGGAUAACUACUGGAAACGGUAGCUAAUACCGCAUAACGUCGCAAGACCAAAGAGGGGGACCUUCGGGCCUCUUGCCAUCGGAUGUGCCCAGAUGGGAUUAGCUAGUAGGUGGGGUAACGGCUCACCUAGGCGACGAUCCCUAGCUGGUCUGAGAGGAUGACCAGCCACACUGGAACUGAGACACGGUCCAGACUCCUACGGGAGGCAGCAGUGGGGAAUAUUGCACAAUGGGCGCAAGCCUGAUGCAGCCAUGCCGCGUGUAUGAAGAAGGCCUUCGGGUU